GAUGAAGAACGUAGCGAAAUGUGAUAAGUAGUGUGAAUUGCAGAAUUCAGUGAAUCAUCGAAUCUUUGAACGCACAUUGCGCCCCUUGGUAUUCCAUGGGGCAUGCCUGUUCGAGCGUCAUUUGUACCUUCAAGCUCUGCUUGGUGUUGGGUGUUUGUCUCGCCUUGCGCGUAGACUCGCCUUAAAACAAUUGGCAGCCGGCGUAUUGAUUUCGGAGCGCAGUACAUCUCGCGCUUUGCACUCAUAACGACGACGUCCAAAAGUACUUUUUACACUCUUGACCUCGGAUCAGGUAGGGAUACCCGCUGAACUUAAGCAUAUCAAUAAGCGGAGGA
Molecule: unclassified non-coding RNA, 335 nt
Filed under: soil metagenome
Description: partial contains 5.8S ribosomal RNA, internal transcribed spacer 2, and large subunit ribosomal RNA
Rfam family: 5.8S ribosomal RNA (bases 1-120)
Source: RNAcentral